RNAcentral lists this ribosomal RNA (519 nucleotides) under uncultured bacterium. RNAcentral's name for it is "partial 16S ribosomal RNA". It matches the Rfam family "Bacterial small subunit ribosomal RNA", at positions 28 to 507 of the family's 1533-position model. The record is from RNAcentral.
GACGAACGCUGGCGGCGUGCCUAAUACAUGCAAGUCGAGCGAGUCUGCCUUGAAGAUCGGAGUGCUUGCACUCUGUGAAACAAGAUACAGGCUAGCGGCGGACGGGUGAGUAACACGUGGGUAACCUGCCCAAGAGAUCGGGAUAACACCUGGAAACAGAUGCUAAUACCGGAUAACAACAGAUGAUGCCUAUCAACUGUUUAAAAGAUGGUUCUGCUAUCACUCUUGGAUGGACCUGCGGUGCAUUAGCUAGUUGGUAGGGUAACGGCCUACCAAGGCGAUGAUGCAUAGCCGAGUUGAGAGACUGAUCGGCCACAUUGGGACUGAGACACGGCCCAAACUCCUACGGGAGGCAGCAGUAGGGAAUCUUCCACAAAGGACGCAAGUCUGAUGGAGCAACGCCGCGUGAGUGAAGAAGGGUUUCGUCUCGUAAAGCUCUGUUGUUGGUGAAGAAGGACAGGGGUAGUAACUGACCUUUGUUUGACGGUAAUCAAUUAGAAAGUCACGGCUAACUACGUG